UAAUACGUAGGGGGCUAGCGUUAUCCGGAUUUACUGGGCGUAAAGGGUGCGUAGGCGGUCUUUUAAGUCAGGAGUGAAAGGCUACGGCUCAACCGUAGUAAGCUCUUGAAACUGGAGGACUUGAGUGCAGGAGAGGAGAGUGGAAUUCCUAGUGUAGCGGUGAAAUGCGUAGAUAUUAGGAGGAACACCAGUAGCGAAGGCGGCUCUCUGGACUGUAACUGACGCUGAGGCACGAAAGCGUGGGGAGCAAACAGG
Molecule: ribosomal RNA, 255 nt
Filed under: uncultured bacterium
Lineage: Bacteria
Description: partial 16S ribosomal RNA
Rfam family: Bacterial small subunit ribosomal RNA
Source: RNAcentral